CAGCAGCCGCCGCGGUAAUACGGAGGGGGCUAGCGUUGUUCGGAAUUACUGGGCGUAAAGCGCACGUAGGCGGCUUUGUAAGUUAGAGGUGAAAGCCCGGAGCUCAACUCCGGAAUUGCCUUUGAUACUGGUUGUCUUGAGUCCGGGAGAGGUGAGUGGAACUGCGAGUGUAGAGGUGAAAUUCGUAGAUAUUCGCAAGAACACCAGUGGCGAAGGCGGCUUACUGGCUCAUUCUAGACGCUGAGGUGCGAAAGCGUGGGGAGCAAACAGGAUUAGAUACCCCCGUAGUCCCUGUCUCUUAUAC
Molecule: ribosomal RNA, 304 nt
Filed under: uncultured bacterium
Lineage: Bacteria
Description: partial 16S ribosomal RNA
Rfam family: Bacterial small subunit ribosomal RNA
Source: RNAcentral